Molecule: ribosomal RNA, 700 nt
Filed under: uncultured bacterium
Lineage: Bacteria
Description: bacterial SSU rRNA
Rfam family: Bacterial small subunit ribosomal RNA
Source: RNAcentral
GAGCGGCGUACGGGUGCGGAACACGUGUGCAACCUGCCUUUAUCUGGGGGAUAGCCUUUCGAAAGGGAGAUUAAUACCCCAUAAUAUAUUGAUUUGCAUGAAUUGAUAUUGAAAACUCCGGUGGAUAGAGAUGGGCACGCGCAAGAUUAGAUAGUCGGUGAGGUAACGGCUCACCAAGUCGAUGAUCUUUAGGGGGCCUGAGAGGGUGAUCCCCCACACUGGUACUGAGACACGGACCAGACUCCUACGGGAGGCAGCAGUGAGGAAUAUUGGACAAUGGGUGAGAGCCUGAUCCAGCCAUCCCGCGUGAAGGAUUAAGGACCUAUGGUUUGUAAACUUCUUUUUUACAGGGAUAAACCUAGAUACGUGUAUCUAGUUGAAGGUACUGUAAGAAUAAGCACCGGCUAACUCCGUGCCAGCAGCCGCGGUAAUACGGAGGGUGCAAGCGUUAUCCGGAUUUAUUGGGUUUAAAGGGUCCGUAGGCGGAUCGGUAAGUCAGUGGUGAAAUCUCAUAGCUUAACUAUGAAACUGCCAUUGAUACUGUCGGUCUUGAGUGUAUUUGAAGUAGCUGGAAUGAGUAGUGUAGCGGUGAAAUGCAUAGAUAUUACUCAGAACACCAAUUGCGAAGGCAGGUUACCUAAGAAUACAACUGGACGCUGAUGGACCAAAGCCGUCGGGGGAGCGAAACAGGGAUUUAGAU